RNAcentral lists this ribosomal RNA (706 nucleotides) under Achromobacter sp. 110609_136_C_C2. RNAcentral describes it as "bacterial SSU rRNA". It matches the Rfam family "Bacterial small subunit ribosomal RNA", at positions 21 to 722 of the family's 1533-position model. The record is from RNAcentral. Lineage: Bacteria; Pseudomonadati; Pseudomonadota; Betaproteobacteria; Burkholderiales; Alcaligenaceae.
GGCUCAGAUUGAACGCUAGCGGGAUGCCUUACACAUGCAAGUCGAACGGCAGCACGGACUUCGGUCUGGUGGCGAGUGGCGAACGGGUGAGUAAUGUAUCGGAACGUGCCUAGUAGCGGGGGAUAACUACGCGAAAGCGUAGCUAAUACCGCAUACGCCCUACGGGGGAAAGCAGGGGAUCGCAAGACCUUGCACUAUUAGAGCGGCCGAUAUCGGAUUAGCUAGUUGGUGGGGUAACGGCUCACCAAGGCGACGAUCCGUAGCUGGUUUGAGAGGACGACCAGCCACACUGGGACUGAGACACGGCCCAGACUCCUACGGGAGGCAGCAGUGGGGAAUUUUGGACAAUGGGGGAAACCCUGAUCCAGCCAUCCCGCGUGUGCGAUGAAGGCCUUCGGGUUGUAAAGCACUUUUGGCAGGAAAGAAACGUCAUGGGUUAAUACCCCGUGAAACUGACGGUACCUGCAGAAUAAGCACCGGCUAACUACGUGCCAGCAGCCGCGGUAAUACGUAGGGUGCAAGCGUUAAUCGGAAUUACUGGGCGUAAAGCGUGCGCAGGCGGUUCGGAAAGAAAGAUGUGAAAUCCCAGAGCUUAACUUUGGAACUGCAUUUUUAACUACCGAGCUAGAGUGUGUCAGAGGGAGGUGGAAUUCCGCGUGUAGCAGUGAAAUGCGUAGAUAUGCGGAGGAACACCGAUGGCGAAGGC